CAAGGCUAAGCCUGAGGGGGCUGUGACAAUACAGAGGAAGGACUGAACAAGUCAGUCUUGAAGACACAAAGUCAAGGGGACUUCCAAGAGGAGAAAUGAUUGCCCUGGGUCUUGGAGAAGAACUGAAGCUGAGCAAGAGAAGGCGCCCCCUCCCCCACUGCCAAAAUCAGGAGCUGAGACGUCAAAGCUUCAUCUCAGGACCAGCAAGUGUCUCUAACCAGUAACGGUGGGAGCGGGACCCUCACAUUCAUUCUCGUAACUGAGCACAAUGAGACAUGCACGAUGGAGACCCAAAGGCAGCUUCGGGCUGAUGCUAUCACCUGAUACCUCCAAGCUACCAGGUGUUCCUUUCAGAAGCCAGAAGCUGAUAACCUUGGCUUUCUGAUCUAAGCCCCGGUCCAUGCCCAGGAUCUUCACAGGGGAAGACUCAGGGAGCAGCUCCCUCCCAGUGAGAGGUGGGUGCCAAGUUUCCUGUUCAAACCUGUUCAUCAGCAAACCACAGAGAAUGCCAGAAAUGUUGGGAGAAGUGGAAGCAUCACUGGGAUAAGUAAAGAACUUCACAAGACAAUUAUCUGAAGAUGAUACCUCAUUUGAAUAUACACGUUUUUGAUUAAAAAGCUAAAUGAAAUACAAUUACUCCUAUUACGUUGUAGACCUCUCUUGAGUCAUUGCUUUCACAGCUUGAUUAUAAAUUCCUUGGGACAAAAACUGUGUCUUAUAUAUCUUUUGUGCCUGGCAUGAUGACUAGCCCCAAAUUGAAAACAUUAUAAGCACAUAUGCCUUCUUGAUUUGUUGUUUCUUUCAUUGUUGAUGGAUGAGACAUUUCCUUGGAUUAUACACCUCACUGAUCUCUUCCACUAAUUAAAACAGCCAAUUCAAA
This is a non-coding RNA of Oryctolagus cuniculus (rabbit), 880 nucleotides long. The record is from RefSeq and is a predicted model, not a curated record. NCBI's taxonomy places the organism in Eukaryota, Metazoa, Chordata, Mammalia, Lagomorpha, Leporidae.